Non-coding RNA from Salvelinus sp. IW2-2015, 174 nucleotides. The record is from RefSeq and is a predicted model, not a curated record. NCBI's taxonomy places the organism in Eukaryota, Metazoa, Chordata, Actinopteri, Salmoniformes, Salmonidae.
CCACUGUAAAUGUCUUCUGUGUGAACUGGUGUAGCAGUUAGAUUGACCCAGGAGCCUCUGCACAGCUGACUUCUCUUCUGUCUUUUCUGCUUUUUGGUGUUCUGAAGACUGAACGAUGAGGGUGUGUAUCGUCUUCCUCCUGUGCUAGCUGGCCAGGUGUUCACCGCUGCCAUU